This 180-nucleotide ribosomal RNA is filed under the name uncultured Glomeromycotina. RNAcentral's name for it is "partial small subunit ribosomal RNA". The stretch from base 74 to 180 matches the Rfam family "Eukaryotic small subunit ribosomal RNA", at positions 723 to 832 of the family's 1831-position model. The record is from RNAcentral. Lineage: Eukaryota; Fungi; Glomeromycota.
GCCUGGCAGACCGGUCCGCCUAACGGUGUGCACUGGAUCGGCUGGGUCAUAUUUCUGGGAGAGCGGCAUGCCCUUUAGUGGGUGCGUCGUUUACCAGAACCAUUACUUUGAAAAAAUUAGAGUGUUUAAAGCAGGCUCACGCUUGAAUACAUUAGCAUGGAAUAACGAAAUAGGACGUUU